Molecule: long non-coding RNA, 966 nt
Organism: Daphnia pulicaria
Lineage: Eukaryota; Metazoa; Arthropoda; Branchiopoda; Diplostraca; Daphniidae
Exons: 2
Source: RefSeq, a predicted model, not a curated record
UCCCGCUCUCCCAUCGAAUGGUCGCUGUCUCUCGCUCUCUCUCGUAUAACCGAGAGGAGAUUUUGAGGAAAGAGAUUCCGUGGUGACAUUCCAGGACGAAAUUCUUUAAGAACGCAUAAGAAUAGGUUCUGCAACGGGAUUGUUCUACCCUCGUUCACCUUCGGAAAGCUGAGUUCCUGUUUGGGCUGAAAGGAAAAGAAAAGUUUUGAUUAAAUUUAUGGAGUUCAGCGUAAGCUUAUCUCCCGAUUGUGUUGCAACAUGUGGGAGAAUGAAGAGAAAUUAAUUAUCUUCCUGUUGCUCCGCUCCGCUGCUUCUCACCCACCCGAUCCUGGAAACGGAUCUUUCUCGUGUAUACAUCAACACACCUCUGCCUCUGCUGUGACUCUGCCGUGGUGUCUCUGUUGGUCGAGGUGCUGGUGUGAUGGGAGCUGGUGCUGGCUCUUCGAUCGAGAGACUCUCGUACAGCACCUGCAGGGCCUCCUCUUCCUCACUCUCUUCACCUCCGACGGCUCCUUCUUCUUUUUUCUCUCCAACGGCUUCUUCUUCUUUUUCACCGCCAAUGGCUCCUUCUUCUCUCGGGACUGCCUGGACUGCUUCGUUGAGUUGAUGUCGUCUGGGGCCGUGCAACAGCCCCCUGGUGAUUCGGAAGUCGCCGUUAGGUGCGUUUCUUAGCCUGUUGAAUUCAGCUAUCUCAGCCGUUGUCGGGAAAUAAGUUCGUGGUGGAGGGUCAUAUGCGGCGAAUCUGGCAAAGACCCGUUAAUGAUUGAUUGCCAGCUGUUCAGGUGAUAGAGACGAAAUGACUGGAUCGUUUGACGGGACCGCGUGUAGCAAAUGCUGCUACAUGCGGCUAUUUCUACGUUUUUCCUUGUUAAGAGCCGCCUGUUUCAAGUAAUAAUUGUUAUGAAACAGAAUGUCUUUAUCGUAAAGUUUUUUUGCCAAUUCCAAAUGGGCGAGCAAGUUGGCAUG